CGCAAAAAGAAACGGCGUUUGUUUACGCUAUGAAAGCAAAGAAACGCGGCGCAAUGGCCGCGUUGUGUCGGCAAUGACAGCUGCUAGCGUCCUGCAUUUACGUAGGAUCUGGAUAACAUCCAUUUGAUUCAACAUCAAAGUGGAUGCCAACUUCGCAAGAAAUUUUCCCAGAGGAUGACUAAUCCAAAUAUUUAAAUAUCCGUGAAAUGGCCAAAUUUCGUGUGAUGAUAAUAUAUUUUUAAACGUGGGAUGAUGGGCGUUGAUUUGAUCAUUACUUACCUCCUAAGAGCUCAUCCAAAGUAAAUUUCAUCGAGGAUGACAUAUCUAAUGCACAAGGAAAAAAAAAACUAGGCUUUCGUUAAACAACAAUCACGAAUAGUACAACGAUCCGAAAAAGCGUGUACAACCGAGCGACUUACUUCGUGCGCGUACACGUAUGACUAACGUAGAAACGUGACGUACUCGCUACGAAUUAUCACGAUAAAA
This is a long non-coding RNA of Vespa velutina, 486 nucleotides long. RefSeq lists it as uncharacterized. The record is from RefSeq and is a predicted model, not a curated record. The transcript is spliced from 2 exons. Lineage: Eukaryota; Metazoa; Arthropoda; Insecta; Hymenoptera; Vespidae.